RNAcentral lists this unclassified non-coding RNA (332 nucleotides) under soil metagenome. Its description in RNAcentral is "partial contains 5.8S ribosomal RNA, internal transcribed spacer 2, and large subunit ribosomal RNA". The stretch from base 1 to 120 matches the Rfam family "5.8S ribosomal RNA", at positions 35 to 154 of the family's 154-position model. The record is from RNAcentral.
GAUGAAGAACGUAGCGAAAUGCGAUAAGUAGUGUGAAUUGCAGAAUUCAGUGAAUCAUCGAAUCUUUGAACGCACAUUGCGCCCUUUGGUAUUCCUUAGGGCAUGCCUGUUCGAGCGUCAUUUAAACCUUCAAGCUAAGCUUGGUGUUGGGUGACUGUCCGCUUCACUGCGGACUCGCCUCAAAAUUAUUGGCGGCCGGUACAUUGGCUUCGAGCGCAGCAGAAACGCGAACUCGGGCCCGUCGUAUUGGCUCCCAGAAGCUAUCUUCACAAUUUUGACCUCGGAUCAGGUAGGGAUACCAGCUGAACUUAAGCAUAUCAAUAAGCGGAGGA